This is a non-coding RNA of Oreochromis niloticus (Nile tilapia), 45 nucleotides long. NCBI's taxonomy places the organism in Eukaryota, Metazoa, Chordata, Actinopteri, Cichliformes, Cichlidae. The record is from Rfam.
CAACUGGCAGUUUUCACAGCCACAAAAAUUAAUUUAAAAAAAUAA